Molecule: long non-coding RNA, 1447 nt
Filed under: Papio anubis (olive baboon)
Lineage: Eukaryota; Metazoa; Chordata; Mammalia; Primates; Cercopithecidae
Description: lncRNA (ENSPANG00000048258.1)
Source: RNAcentral
GGGAAUUCAAAGGAUUUUUAUUCUUGAAUAAGUUAAUUUGCCCUAAAUAGGUUUAUAUAUCUUGUCUGUGUGGUCAAAAGGGUGAAAAGCUGAACUAUGUAAUAAUAUGUGGUAUGAGAUAAGCAGAAGAAACUGCCCUAGAAAUUCUGGUAUCACCUUGAAUGAUUAGAUCAGAAUAUUUCAAGAUUGCUGUACUUUGAAAUUACUGGAAUGUUUUGAGAAUACUGAGUCCAUGAAAUUGAGAAAAUUGUAAAAGUAAUACAAAGUAGAGAGAGAGAGAGAGAGAGAGACCAUAGGAAGAAGCCACUCCAAAUAGGAAUAGUGAGAUUAGAUGGCAAAAUUAUAAAAGUAGAGCAAUAAUAUCUUUGUUUGUUUUGUUGCAUGUUUGGGGGAAUAAUAUUUAAAUGUUAAAUAUUUGCAAAACAUAAAAUAAAAUGUCAUUUAGUAAUAUGAAUGUGUGCCCCUACCUAUCCAAACCCAUACAGCAUAUCCUUCAUUCCUUUAGUCCUCCAUCCCUUCAGAUUAGUUAGGCUUUGCUGUAGAACUUUUUAACUUCAGGAAAGGGAUGUGACAAUACAAGGCAGAGUGCUCUUUCUGCCUGUUUCUGGCUCUCAGUAAAUAGAAAGGACUCAUAGCAUGGAUAAAGUAUUUUGGAAAAGACAUCAUGAGUCAGAGCAAAUAUUCCUCAUCCUUUAUAUUCCACCCCAUCCUGGGCCUCAGACUAACAACAAACAAAAUUUUCAGGUUGGAAGAAGAAAUGAACAUCAGAGAUAAGCCAUAAGAGAAAGUUUGGUGGUUGAAAAACAUAACUGUAAAAUCCUUUGACACUCCUUCCAUUGAAAAGAAUGGGUCUGCAUCCCCUCGACCUAGAUCUAACACCAGCUCUUAGUGCCAGGAACUGCCAGGUAAGAAUUCUGACUACACUGAGGCCACCAUGCUCUGAGGAAGUCAAGCCAGAUGGAAAGACCACAGCAGGAGAACUGGUCAGCAGUCAUACUCUUGAACUCAUCCCAACCCAGACUCCAAACAUGUGAAUGGACACGUUUUCAGAUGAUUCCAGCACAAAGCCAUUGAGUCACCUCCAGCCACUGAGUGUCCCCAGCCAAGACACCAGUCACCAUCAAGCAGAGCUAGCCUGCCUGCUAUGCCUGUCCAAAUUCUUGACCCACUAAAUUCUAUGAAAUUAAUAAAUUGUUGUUGAAGUUACUAAAUUUUAAACUUAAUUUGUUAUGCAGUAAUAGGAAUCGUUCCUGUCUGUGAGCAAGUCCUCAUGGACAAUAAACUCAGAUCUGUGUGUGGAAUCUGGGAGAAAAAGAGACUGGUAUCCUUCUCCAUAGUAAAGCCCCAGAAAGAAAAAAGUCUCUAGAAGAAAACACUGUACAGGCAUAGCUCAUUUUAUUGGCCUUUGUUUAUUGCAUCUCACAAAUGUUACUGUUUUCACAAACUG